Molecule: ribosomal RNA, 510 nt
Filed under: bacterium 24GR
Lineage: Bacteria
Description: bacterial SSU rRNA
Rfam family: Bacterial small subunit ribosomal RNA
Source: RNAcentral
AGUCGAGGGGUAGAAAUAGCUUGCUAUUUUGAGACCGGCGCACGGGUGCGUAACGCGUAUGCAAUCUACCUUGUACUGAGGGAUAGCCCGGAGAAAUCCGGAUUAAUACCUCAUGGUAUAUUUGAGUGGCAUCAUUUAGAUAUUAAAGUUUUAACGGUACAAGAUGAGCAUGCGUCCCAUUAGUUAGUUGGUGUGGUAACGGCACACCAAGACUAUGAUGGGUAGGGGUCCUGAGAGGGAGAUCCCCCACACUGGUACUGAGACACGGACCAGACUCCUACGGGAGGCAGCAGUGAGGAAUAUUGGUCAAUGGAGGCAACUCUGAACCAGCCAUGCCGCGUGCAGGAAGACGGUUCUAUGGAUUGUAAACUGCUUUUGUACAGGAAGAAAUUAUCCCUCGUGAGGGAGCUUGACAGUACUGUAAGAAUAAGGAUCGGCUAACUCCGUGCCAGCAGCCGCGGUAAUACGGAGGAUCCAAGCGUUAUCCGGAAUCAUUGGGUUUAAAGGGUC